UACAGAGGGUGCAAGCGUUAAUCGGAAUUAUUGGGCGUAAAGGGCGCGUAGGCGGUGUUUUAAGUGAGAUGUGCAAUCCCCGGGCUUAACCUGGGAACUGCAUCUCAGACUGGAACGCUAGAGUACUGGAGAGGGUGGUAGAAUUCCACGUGUAGCGGUGAAAUGCGUAGAGAUGUGGAGGAAUACCAGUGGCGAAGGCGGCCACCUGGACAGUAACUGACGCUGAGGCGCGAAAGCGUGGGUAGCAAACAGG
RNAcentral lists this ribosomal RNA (253 nucleotides) under uncultured bacterium. RNAcentral's name for it is "partial 16S ribosomal RNA". It matches the Rfam family "Bacterial small subunit ribosomal RNA", at positions 524 to 776 of the family's 1533-position model. The record is from RNAcentral.